This 422-nucleotide long non-coding RNA is filed under the name Setaria viridis. Its description in RNAcentral is "long non-coding RNA (SVIR_LNC011201)". The record is from RNAcentral. Lineage: Eukaryota; Viridiplantae; Streptophyta; Magnoliopsida; Poales; Poaceae.
AAUACCCUACGUUCUGUAUGUUGUUCGCUUGUAUUCUAUUGAACUUGUCUUGAGGGGGUCCGUGCCCGCCUUUAUAUACUGGGGGAGCAGGGUUACAGGGUAGUUGUCAUACAGGAGUACUAGUCGGAUUCGACUAGAGAGUUCUACUCUAACUCGGAGGAGUAGUUUCCAUGUCUUCGACUAGUCCCCUAGAGUCCAUGUAGACUACGCCACCCUGUAUCGUAGUCUCCAUGUCUUGAUACGAUUCAAUGUAUGUCUCCUGGUGUGGGUCCGUACAAGUCUUUUGGUAGGCCCAUAGGUGUAUGGCUGACAAGCCCCCGAGUACUUUCUAGUCAAAUGCAACAACCUUGAGUACUCGUAGAUGUUGCUCGACUAGUUCUUGGUACUCUUUGAGUACUUCUGUCGGAGUUGAGUUCUUCGAG